AUUUAAACAUUAAACAAAGAUAAAUCAGUAAUCAAGUUCAAUUGGUCCUCUCAUUCAAUAGUACAUAACUGAAGUUUGACCUUGCCAUACAGGUUAAGUUAUUAGGGACUAAGUGCUUGUUUUCUUCAUUAACAGGUUUAUUUAUCUAUAGUACUAUUCAAGAAUACUUUUAUUUCAUUCAUGUUCGAUUCUUUUAGCACAGUGGUGAUACAUCACCUGUGUCAGUAACUGAAACUGAUGUUAUGCCCUACAAAACUGUUAA
Molecule: non-coding RNA, 262 nt
Organism: Parasteatoda tepidariorum (common house spider)
Lineage: Eukaryota; Metazoa; Arthropoda; Arachnida; Araneae; Theridiidae
Source: RefSeq, a predicted model, not a curated record